This 224-nucleotide ribosomal RNA is filed under the name uncultured bacterium. RNAcentral describes it as "partial 16S ribosomal RNA". It matches the Rfam family "Bacterial small subunit ribosomal RNA", at positions 524 to 744 of the family's 1533-position model. The record is from RNAcentral.
UACGAAGGGGGCUAGCGUUGCUCGGAAUUACUGGGCGUAAAGCGCACGUAGGCGGUCUUUUUAAGUCGGGGGUGAAAUCCUGGAGCUCAACUCCAGAACUGCCUCGAUACUGGAAGACUUGAGUCCGGGAGAGGUGAGUGGAACUGGCGAAGUGUAGAGGUGAAAUUCGUAGAUAUUCGCAAGAACACCGGGUGGCGAAGGCGGUGGUCUGGGCCUGAACUGAC